UGGAUACUGUUGAACACUCAGAAAUAUAAGUAAUCUAGAAAAGGUUUGAAAUUAAUCUAAUUGAUUAUACUUUAAAAUUAUAAGCGCUUAGUAUAAACAUCUAUACUAUCUAUAAUUAAAAUGUAUACUAUGGCAGGAUAACGCAAACUUAUUUUGCUUUUGUAUUCUGUCUCUUGAUAUUUUUUUCGCGCGUGGUUUAUUUGCAUCGAGUUGCCGUAAUUUUCGGCCAAAUAAUUAAAAAAACUCGCCAUUUGACAACAUGCAGAAACGGAGAUGGAAGUUGCAAGCUGGUAUUUAAAGUGACCAGAAAUGAUCGACACCGGAGGAGAUUCCUUGGCUGAUUCUAGUGGCCAUCAUUCAACCUGAAAGUUCGUCGAUAAAGUCGUUUGAUUUUUGUUUUUCUGAAGAUCGUUUGUGGUUAAAAAUUCAUUGUGGAAUGCAAGGGGAACGACACAAAUUAUUCCAACCUGAAAUUUCCCACAAAAUAGACGACAAAACCUGCAUACGACAUGCCGGUAUUUGCAAUAUUUUUCAGGGUUUGGGUUUGGGUUUGGCUUGGAAAAACUUGUGUCGUUUCCCUUGCCUUGGUGGAAUGGUUCUCUGACAAAGCAGUGAGUGAUAAAUAAGCUGCCGGAGGACUUUGUAAAAUAUGAAACAGAUUACGGAAAUGCAAAAACAAUGUGGUUAGUAUAUUGAUUUGCGUCACGGAUGGGGAAAAACGUUUUGUGUUGAAACAUAUUUCCAUGGUGUAUACUAUUCCUUCAUGCAUUGAACUAUUGUACACUCAGAAAUGAAAUAAAUCCGUAAUGGAUUUGAAAUUAAACUUUUUAGUCAUAUUUGACGUUUAUACAUUGCAUAGUUUAAAAAGUAUACUUUCGCACAUUAUUUUUUAUACUAAGUCAGAUUAACGCAGCAGUAUUUUAGAUAGAAUUUUGUCUUCUGCGAAAUUUCAUAUUCUCUUCCAUUUACUUGAUUCACCCAGUUGAGUCGUAGCGUUGUUGCGAAGAAAUUACAGAUUUUUGUGAGAAAGGUGUAGGUUUGCGGCCAUUACCAUUGGGAGAAAAGCAUCUUAACUAGAAGAUAAUGGCACUGCCAGUCACUCCAGCUCCAGGAGCUGCAAUCUCCGACAUCGUCCCAACAGGGGGAGAAAUUGCGCAGCGGCAAAAUUUGAGUACGCUUGGAAGGCUUCGAGACAGCGGUGCCGGUGGAAUUAUUCAGGCGCAAAAUCAAAAUCUAUAACCUCCCGGCUAGCACCAGGUAGCUGUUCACCGAGCUCUUUUUCCUAGUUAAACGGACCAACACCGCAUCCAAAGCUCGAUCCAUGAUAGUUUUUCUGGGCAAACAGACACUUCUCUGUUUAUGGACACGGGCGCUAUCGCGAAUGGCACAUAUUUUAAUAUCCAUGCAACAGUGCAAUUUCUCCCUUCCGGAAUUUAUUAGCGGUUUCGGUCGAUUAUCCGAAAAAGGAUCGUACAACUGGAUUCGAUUAUUAUACCCUAGAGAAGCGCAUGAUCGAUGACAAAGAUAACGAGCGACAAUUGAUUACGAGCCGGAUGCUUUGGCCGAGGUCUACAAUAGUCAUCAAUCGCUGUUACUCGAAGUUCUGUUGGAGGACAGCUCAGCACAGGAUCAAGACCAGCGGUACCCAUCCACCCCCAGUUAAUCGAAUAGGUUCCGACUUCUUAGCUCCGGUGGGCUUCCCGAGCAAUUCUCUCAUUUACAAGUCUCAUUUGUGCGAACAUUUGUGUAUUUUAUUGCAUGAUUUUAAUAAAAUAAUAAUUACUUUCUCUGUGUACAAACUAUCCUUUCAUUUUAAUUUUUCCAAUAAGAAAAACUAAAGAAAAACGAACUAACCUAGAAACUAUAGACAAAUCGAAAGUAAACUAAACAUUAAUAAAGCGUAUUUAUACUAACGAACGUUUUUCUUAAAUUUAUACUAUGACAGUAUUGUAGGUUUGAAUACGAGCAUGGGGUCAACCAGGCGAAUAGUCGUUUAGAAUGACUUUUAAACUAUUUAGUAUAAAUAUAUUUCUGAGUGUAUAUUGAUGA
Molecule: long non-coding RNA, 2049 nt
Organism: Armigeres subalbatus
Lineage: Eukaryota; Metazoa; Arthropoda; Insecta; Diptera; Culicidae
Exons: 3
Source: RefSeq, a predicted model, not a curated record